GACGUCGGGCUGAGAUUCUGGAAUCACAUAGGCAGUGAGAUUGGGGGAGACGCGAUGCUUCCCUUGAAACCAUCAAGACAGAUGUGCUCGGGUUUUUAGGGUGUACCCCCAAGGCAAGCAUAUCUGGGGCGUCUCCAGGCAGAUGCUAACCCUCGGGGUCAACCAGGAGGCUGCAGCUUUGCGUGACACCACCGCCCAGAAUCCAGGUCCGGGUGGAGGGGUGGGCGGCACCGCCCCUCGGGGGGAUGUUCUCCCGACUUCGGAGAGGAAGAAAGGAAGAAAUGCACCCUAGGAAAAUGGGCUUCGACUUUUUGUGUCUGUGCUUUCAUGGAAGUCACCAGUUCUCUGGAUGCUUAAGAUGCCACUCAGAAGCGCACCGAGCCAGACUGUGGCUAGCCUUGCUAAGUCCGCCUGUCUUGGUCGGCGACCACUUAGGGUAGCCCCGGGAUAAACAAUAGCCAUCAAGGUUAGGAGAUAUAUUCGCCAUGCUUACCUGUUGACAAAAAAUGCAAAAUAAAAUUUAAAAUUUGGAAAAUAAUACAUGGUAACAUCUUUUAGAACCAAGGCUUUUCAGACAAAAGCCAAUUUUACCAUCCCGAAAGCUAUGGAGCCCUGGAACUACCGUUCGCGGCACUUUGGCGCCCUCUGGCUGUGUCAGGAUUGCUUGCUUGUUCUGCUUCGUCCCAAACGAAGAGGGGCAAUGGAAAUGCUUGCUGUUCUCUUGGCUGGAUCUACCCUCCUGAGAGGAGCACGAAUUCAGAAGGACCUUGUUCUCCACGGUCGCGAUGGCAAAACAUAAUCAUAUUUAGGGAGACAAACGCCAAAGUCCAGUGCAAGGAAUGGUGCCCGGAAUAAAUUGGCAAAUGCAAAAUCAAGUAGCCAGCAGAACAUCAAGGACUCAGCCUUCUGUUACAAGCAAAUCAAAAGAUGCUGCGUGGCCCACUUGAGAACUCAGGCAGCUCCAACUCCAAUGAAGCUGAAUGAACAUCGGGGUGAAGACUUGAUCUCCAAAUCAAUAAGCUUAAUACAAGCUAGAGUCAUCUGAGAGAAGGGAACUCAAGCUGAGAAUGCGCUUCCAUCAGAUGUUGCUGUGGGCAAGUCUGCAAGGAAUCUUCUUAAUUAGAGGCUGACAGAACAGGGCACAGCCCACGGUGGUGGUGCCACUCCGGAGUGGUGGUCCUGGAUUCUGUUAAGAAAGCAGACUGGACAAGCCAUAAAGAAAAAGCCAGAAAAGGGCACCAGACCUCAUUACAGAUGGUUGUGAGCCACCAUGUGUUUGCUGAAA
This is a long non-coding RNA of Microtus oregoni (creeping vole), 1285 nucleotides long. RefSeq lists it as uncharacterized. Lineage: Eukaryota; Metazoa; Chordata; Mammalia; Rodentia; Cricetidae. The transcript has 5 exons. The record is from RefSeq and is a predicted model, not a curated record.